RNAcentral lists this ribosomal RNA (1710 nucleotides) under Burkholderia cenocepacia. RNAcentral describes it as "partial 23S ribosomal RNA". It matches the Rfam family "Bacterial large subunit ribosomal RNA", at positions 1 to 1765 of the family's 2925-position model. Lineage: Bacteria; Pseudomonadati; Pseudomonadota; Betaproteobacteria; Burkholderiales; Burkholderiaceae. The record is from RNAcentral.
GGUCAAGCGAACAAGUGCAUGUGGUGGAUGCCUUGGCGAUCACAGGCGAUGAAGGACGCGGUAGCCUGCGAAAAGCUACGGGGAGCUGGCAAACAAGCUUUGAUCCGUAGAUGUCCGAAUGGGGAAACCCACUCCUUUUGGAGUAUCCAUGGCUGAAUACAUAGGCCAUGUGAAGCGAACGCGGUGAACUGAAACAUCUAAGUAACCGCAGGAAAAGAAAUCAACCGAGAUUCCCAAAGUAGUGGCGAGCGAAAUGGGAUGAGCCUUGCACUCUUUAUUUGUAUUGUUAGCCGAACGCUCUGGAAAGUGCGGCCAUAGCAGGUGAUAGCCCUGUAGGCGAAAACAGUAUGAAAGAACUAGGUGUGCGACAAGUAGGGCGGGACACGUGAAAUCCUGUCUGAAGAUGGGGGGACCAUCCUCCAAGGCUAAAUACUCGUGAUCGACCGAUAGUGAACCAGUACCGUGAGGGAAAGGCGAAAAGAACCCCGGGAGGGGAGUGAAAUAGAUCCUGAAACCGCAUGCAUACAAACAGUCGGAGCCUCGUAAGGGGUGACGGCGUACCUUUUGUAUAAUGGGUCAGCGACUUACGUUCAGUAGCAAGCUUAACCGUAUAGGGCAGGCGUAGCGAAAGCGAGUCCGAAUAGGGCGUUCAGUUGCUGGGCGUAGACCCGAAACCAGGUGAUCUAUCCAUGGCCAGGAUGAAGGUGCGGUAACACGUACUGGAGGUCCGAACCCACUAACGUUGAAAAGUUAGGGGAUGAGCUGUGGAUAGGGGUGAAAGGCUAAACAAACCUGGAAAUAGCUGGUUCUCUCCGAAAACUAUUUAGGUAGUGCCUCGUGUCUCACCUUCGGGGGUAGAGCACUGUCAUGGUUGGGGGGUCUAUUGCAGAUUACCCCGCCAUAGCAAACUCCGAAUACCGAAGAGUGCAAUCACGGGAGACAGACAUCGGGUGCUAACGUCCGGUGUCAAGAGGGAAACAACCCAGACCGCCAGCUAAGGUCCCCAAAUAUAGCUAAGUGGGAAACGAAGUGGGAAGGCUAAAACAGUCAGGAGGUUGGCUUAGAAGCAGCCACCCUUUAAAGAAAGCGUAAUAGCUCACUGAUCGAGUCGUCCUGCGCGGAAGAUGUAACGGGGCUAAGCUAUAUACCGAAGCUGCGGAUGCGUGCUUGCACGCAUGGUAGGAGAGCGUUCCGUAAGCCUGCGAAGGUGCCUUGUAAAGGGUGCUGGAGGUAUCGGAAGUGCGAAUGCUGACAUGAGUAGCGAUAAAGGGGGUGAAAGGCCCCCUCGCCGUAAGCCCAAGGUUUCCUACGCAACGUUCAUCGGCGUAGGGUGAGUCGGCCCCUAAGGCGAGGCAGAAAUGCGUAGCUGAUGGGAAGCAGGUCAAUAUUCCUGCACCAUUGUUAGAUGCGAUGGGGGGACGGAUCGCGGAAGGUUGUCCGGGUGUUGGAAGUCCCGGUCGCUGCAUUGGAGAAGGCGCUUAGGCAAAUCCGGGCGCGUAAUUCAAGGGUGUGGCGCGAGCUCCUUAGGGAGCGAAGCAAUUGGAAGUGGUUCCAAGAAAAGCCUCUAAGCUUCAGUCUAACGAUGACCGUACCGCAAACCGACACAGGUGGGCGAGAUGAGUAUUCUAAGGCGCUUGAGAGAACUCGGGAGAAGGAACUCGGCAAAUUGGUACCGUAACUUCGGGAUAAGGUACGCCCUUGUAGCUUGAC